Molecule: ribosomal RNA, 467 nt
Filed under: uncultured bacterium
Lineage: Bacteria
Description: bacterial SSU rRNA
Rfam family: Bacterial small subunit ribosomal RNA
Source: RNAcentral
UGCCAGACUCCUACGGGAGGCAGCAGUGAGGAAUAUUGGUCAAUGGGCUAAGGCCUGAACCAGCCAAGUCGCGUGAGGGAAGACGGUCCUAUGGAUUGUAAACCUCUUUUGUCGGGGAGCAACGAGGCCACGUGUGGCCGAAGUGAGAGUACCCGAAGAAAAAGCAUCGGCUAACUACGUGCCAGCAGCCGCGGUAAUACGUAGGGUGCGAGCGUUAAUCGGAAUUACUGGGCGUAAAGGGUGUGCAGGCGGCUGAGUAAGACAGAUGUGAAAUCCCCGGGCUUAACCUGGGAACCGCAUAUGUGACUGCUUGGCUAGAGUGCGUCAGAGGGAGGUGGAAUUCCACGUGUAGCAGUGAAAUGCGUAGAUAUGUGGAAGAACACCGAUGGCGAAGGCAGCCUCCUGGGACGCAACUGACGCUCAUACACGAAAGCGUGGGGAGCAAACAGGAUUAGAUACCCGUGUAC